This 527-nucleotide long non-coding RNA is filed under the name Gallus gallus (chicken). The record is from RNAcentral. Lineage: Eukaryota; Metazoa; Chordata; Aves; Galliformes; Phasianidae.
UAAAGAUCAUUCCAGAAUGUUGACUUUUGACCCUGAUGUGUUUGAUGAACUCAACAUACAGGGCUCUUAUAUAACAAAAAGGAAUGAGCACAAAGAAUGAAUAUGUUGUUCCUGUUCUGUACUUCAUGUAUUUCAAGGAAAGGUAAGUUAUUUAACCAAUUUGUCUGUUAAAAUGAUUUUGAUUCACAGAGAAGCUGCUUGAACCUACUUCUGUCUCAUUUCUAAGGGUACAGUAAAAUCUGUACUUGUGUUAGGGACCAUAUACUUCUACUGAUGAAACAAGAAUAUUGCUCUCUUGGCAGAUACGUGAAGAGAUCUUACGUAUAUAACAAUUUAGCAUUUGCUACUUUAUGAGCUGUAACUUGAUGUACAGUAUAUUACCUCAUUGUACCUCUGAGCAAAUAGACUUGUAAAACACUGAAUGCAGUUCCAAAUGUAAAGUGAUAUAAAUGUGCUUUCAGGUAUUCUCAUUUUGAGUAAUGUUUUAUUAAAUAUUUAGGAGAAAAGUAGGCAAAAAUACAUUCAUG